RNAcentral lists this long non-coding RNA (339 nucleotides) under Vigna radiata. Its description in RNAcentral is "long non-coding RNA (VRAD_LNC014456)". Lineage: Eukaryota; Viridiplantae; Streptophyta; Magnoliopsida; Fabales; Fabaceae. The record is from RNAcentral.
GAGUGAGUCAAGGGAAGAAGAAAAUCUUCAUAAUAUUCAUUGAAAAUGGUCCAAAACCGUGCACCAAGCAAGCACCCAUGAGAGCAUGUUCAAAACAAGAGAAACCCUAGAAGAAAGAAGCAAAAACCAUGAGCUAUGGGUCUCUCCUUUGUGUGGCUCGGUUUUCACACCCCAAAUACCAAGAGUUUCACAUUUGGUGGGGUCCACACACUACAAGUCAGCCCUAAAGAGAUGCCACAUGGCCCCCACAAUUAGUUUUUUACAAAAAUGCCCCUAAAAGGGUCCAAAACACCUAAUUCUAAUCAAGGGCUUCUAGAAAACGAAAUUACAACUUUAAUU